Lathyrus oleraceus (garden pea) is the source of this 879-nucleotide long non-coding RNA. RefSeq lists it as uncharacterized. The transcript has 2 exons. NCBI's taxonomy places the organism in Eukaryota, Viridiplantae, Streptophyta, Magnoliopsida, Fabales, Fabaceae. The record is from RefSeq and is a predicted model, not a curated record.
AUUUAUUUUACAAAGUGCUUGAGGUGCAUAUCGGUUAUUUAUUGACCAAUUGGAGAGUUCUAAGCACUCAUUUUUCUAGUUCUUUUCUCCCUUUUUUGCUUCAACCACUGAGAUUGAAAAACACCGGAAAAUGGCUUCUACAAGCACAGCAGCUCCUGGUUCCUCUGACUCCAGACCUACAAGAAGAACCACCACGUGUAAUGCUAUAUCCAACUCUCACUGCCAAUGCAGAUAUGCACAAUAGAGAACUAAACAAACAGCUACUUUUAGGUAUUACAUGUGGUGUUUCUUCUUGUAGGUCUGGAGCAAAAGAACAUCGAGGCAUUACAUGUAAUGCAGAUAUGCCAAUUUAUGCUUACACUUACCCAUAAUUUAUUCUUGUGUCUAUUAGGUUGUUGAAAUUGUGUAUGGCUACGAGUCGGAUUGCUUGAGUAAUAUUUCAGACAAGCUAGUCUACAUCCAGAAUCCCACGACGGAUUGGUGGGAAGAAUGACUUGAUUGGCAUACUAUUUCUCACAGUUGGAGGACUAUGUUUAUUUUUGUCAUUGUUUUUUACCAUUGGGUAUUUUGUGAAGCCAAGGCAACUUGGAAAUCCAUCUCAUUUGUCUUGGAAUAGGAAACAAGCUUGAGCCACCUUCUAAAGCAGUCAUAAAAAAAAUCAACAUUGAAAUGUGAUGUAUGAUAAGUAGUAUCCUAAAAUUAGGAAGUUAUCUUCAGAGGUGCAUUCAAGCUGCUCCUCUUUCUAAGGAUUUCGGCUAAAAUUAAUUCCAAGGUUGAUGAUGUUUUCUUUUAAUAAUAUGCUCUUUACAAUAUCUACGUACCCUUAUAAAUUGUGGCUCCUAGAUGAAAAAGACAUGCAAUUUAUUAGCUCUCAGAUAA